UUCACAGGGCUUGGUUCACUUCCUGGCACUGACACGGCUGCUCACAGCCACCUGUACCUCCAGUCCCAGGGGAUCUGAAGCCCUUUUCUUUGGGCACAUGUAUUCAUACAGGCAAAACACGCACAUAUAACAUAAAAUAAAUAACUCUUAGGGAAAUAUAUUAAAGUACAAAAUAAGCAGUUUUAUUAUAUGAUAGGGUAGACGUUUUAAUAGCAGCUCGGUGAUGAGAAGCUACACGAAUGAGAACAAACUAUUACAACACACCUGAAACAGGCUUUAUGGGUUUGACACGCUUUACAUUAGAGAAUUGAUAUUUAGUUGUAAAACUGAGUGUACAUUUUAAAGGGGCAGGAAAAAAGAACAAAGCAUUUCUAAGUGGAGCUUGAACUUUGCAGGUGCAGAUGUCUGUGCUUAGCUUCCUCCUGCUGUUCACAAAGUCGGAUUUAAAUACGUGGUGUCAUUUUGCACUGAUUUGUCUGUUUUUUCUUGUAGGAAUGAAAUCAAAGGAUGUUUUUCCGUGAUAGAGUAAUGUUUACGCAUGUAUUCAGUAAUGUGAAGAUUUAUAUAAGGCCUGGUGACCUCAGUUAAUUCCGGGAUCCACAGUGUGGAAGAAGAGACCUGGCUCCUGAAAGUUGUCUUCUGACCACAUAUACACAAUAAGUAAACAAGUGUAUCUCAAAAUAGUAAAGUUAAAACAUUAGAUUGCUGCUGUUUUCUCAAAUGUAAGCAUGAUGCAAAGGAUUUGACAGUUUUGUUUAAACUUUAUCUUCUUGAAAUGAGAAAGGGAUUAAACUAUCAAAAGAAUUAAACUCUUUGUUAUUCUU
This is a long non-coding RNA of Rattus rattus (black rat), 824 nucleotides long. RefSeq lists it as uncharacterized. The record is from RefSeq and is a predicted model, not a curated record. NCBI's taxonomy places the organism in Eukaryota, Metazoa, Chordata, Mammalia, Rodentia, Muridae. The transcript is spliced from 2 exons.